This 69-nucleotide transfer RNA is filed under the name Ictidomys tridecemlineatus (thirteen-lined ground squirrel). RNAcentral's name for it is "Spermophilus tridecemlineatus (thirteen-lined ground squirrel) tRNA". It matches the Rfam family "tRNA". Rfam says of the family: Transfer RNA (tRNA) molecules are approximately 80 nucleotides in length. Their secondary structure includes four short double-helical elements and three loops (D, anti-codon, and T loops). Further hydrogen bonds mediate the characteristic L-shaped molecular structure. tRNAs have two regions of fundamental functional importance: the anti-codon, which is responsible for specific mRNA codon recognition, and the 3' end, to which the tRNAs corresponding amino acid is attached (by aminoacyl-tRNA synthetases). tRNAs cope with the degeneracy of the genetic code in two manners: having more than one tRNA (with a specific anti-codon) for a particular amino acid; and 'wobble' base-pairing, i.e. permitting non-standard base-pairing at the 3rd anti-codon position. Lineage: Eukaryota; Metazoa; Chordata; Mammalia; Rodentia; Sciuridae. The record is from Rfam by way of RNAcentral.
GGAGUUGUGGCUCAGCGGUAGAGCGCUUGCCUAGCAUGUGUGAGGCCCUGGGUUCAAUCCUCAGCACCA